RNAcentral lists this ribosomal RNA (486 nucleotides) under uncultured bacterium. RNAcentral describes it as "partial 16S ribosomal RNA". It matches the Rfam family "Bacterial small subunit ribosomal RNA", at positions 30 to 507 of the family's 1533-position model. The record is from RNAcentral.
AUUGAACGCUGGCGGCAUGCCUUACACAUGCAAGUCGAACGGCAGCACGGGUGCUUGCACCUGGUGGCGAGUGGCGAACGGGUGAGUAAUACAUCGGAACAUGUCCUGUAGUGGGGGAUAGCCCGGCGAAAGCCGGAUUAAUACCGCAUACGAUCUACGGGUGAAAGCGGGGGACCUUCGGGCCUCGCGCUAUAGGGUUGGCCGAUGGCUGAUUAGCUAGUUGGUGGGGUAAAGGCCUACCAAGGCGACGAUCAGUAGCCGGUCUGAGAGGACGACCAGCCACACUGGGACUGAGACACGGCCCAGACUCCUACGGGAGGCAGCAGUGGGGAAUUUUGGACAAUGGGCGGAAGCCUGAUCCAGCAAUGCCGCGUGUGUGAAGAAGACCUUCGGGUUGUAAAGCACUUUUGUCCGGAAAGAAAUCCUUGGCCCUAAUACGGUCGGGGGAUGACGGUACCGGAAGAAUAAGCACCGGCUAACUACGUG